AUUUGUUGGAGAGUUUGAUCCUGGCUCAGGAUAAACGUUGGCGGCGUGCCUAAUGCAUGCAAGUCGAGGGACGAAUCUGGCUUCGGCCAGUUGAAACCGGCGAACGGGUGAGUAACACGUACCUAUCUACCUUUAAGUGGGGGACAACUUCGGGAAACCGAAGCUAAUACCGCAUGUUGUCGAAAGACUAAAGCCUUCGGGCGCUUUUAGAGGAGGGUGCGACAGAUUAGCUUGUUGGUAGGGUAAUGGCUUACCAAGGCGACGAUCUGUAGCUGGUCUGAGAGGACGGUCAGCCACACUGGGACUGAGACACGGCCCAGACUCCUACGGGAGGCAGCAGCAAGGAAUUUUCCGCAAUGGACGAA
This 365-nucleotide ribosomal RNA is filed under the name Chloroflexota bacterium. RNAcentral describes it as "bacterial SSU rRNA". It matches the Rfam family "Bacterial small subunit ribosomal RNA", at positions 1 to 379 of the family's 1533-position model. The record is from RNAcentral. Lineage: Bacteria; Bacillati; Chloroflexota.